Molecule: transfer RNA, 71 nt
Filed under: Reticulibacter mediterranei
Lineage: Bacteria; Bacillati; Chloroflexota; Ktedonobacteria; Ktedonobacterales; Reticulibacteraceae
Rfam family: tRNA
About the family: Transfer RNA (tRNA) molecules are approximately 80 nucleotides in length. Their secondary structure includes four short double-helical elements and three loops (D, anti-codon, and T loops). Further hydrogen bonds mediate the characteristic L-shaped molecular structure. tRNAs have two regions of fundamental functional importance: the anti-codon, which is responsible for specific mRNA codon recognition, and the 3' end, to which the tRNAs corresponding amino acid is attached (by aminoacyl-tRNA synthetases). tRNAs cope with the degeneracy of the genetic code in two manners: having more than one tRNA (with a specific anti-codon) for a particular amino acid; and 'wobble' base-pairing, i.e. permitting non-standard base-pairing at the 3rd anti-codon position.
Source: Rfam by way of RNAcentral
GGUAUCGUGGUCAAAUGGUAAGGCACCGCUUUGCAAGUGCGGGAAUGGCAGUUCGAUUCUGCCCGAUACCU